AUUGAACGCUGGCGGCAGGCCCAACACAUGCAAGUCGAGCGGAUGAAGGGAGCUUGCUCCUGGAUUCAGCGGCGGACGGGUGAGUAAUGCCUAGGAAUCUGCCUGGUAGUGGGGGAUAACGUCCGGAAACGGGCGCUAAUACCGCAUACGUCCUGAGGGAGAAAGUGGGGGAUCUUCGGACCUCACGCUAUCAGAUGAGCCUAGGUCGGAUUAGCUAGUUGGUGGGGUAAGGGCCUACCAAGGCGACGAUCCGUAACUGGUCUGAGAGGAUGAUCAGUCACACUGGAACUGAGACACGGUCCAGACUCCUACGGGAGGCAGCAGUGGGGAAUAUUGGACAAUGGGCGAAAGCCUGAUCCAGCCAUGCCGCGUGUGUGAAGAAGGUCUUCGGAUUGUAAAGCACUUUAAGUUGGGAGGAAGGGCAGUAAGUUAAUACCUUGCUGUUUUGACGUUACCAACAGAAUAAGCACCGGCUAACUUCGUG
RNAcentral lists this ribosomal RNA (484 nucleotides) under uncultured bacterium. RNAcentral's name for it is "partial 16S ribosomal RNA". It matches the Rfam family "Bacterial small subunit ribosomal RNA", at positions 30 to 507 of the family's 1533-position model. The record is from RNAcentral.